GAUGAACGCUGGCGGCGUGCCUAAUACAUGCAAGUCGAGCGAACGGACGAGAAGCUUGCUUCUCUGAUGUUAGCGGCGGACGGGUGAGUAACACGUGGAUAACCUACCUAUAAGACUGGGAUAACUUCGGGAAACCGGAGCUAAUACCGGAUGAUAUUUUGAACCGCAUGGUUCAAAAGUGAAAGACGGUCUUGCUGUCACUUAUAGAUGGAUCCGCGCUGCAUUAGCUAGUUGGUAAGGUAACGGCUUACCAAGGCAACGAUGCAUAGCCGACCUGAGAGGGUGAUCGGCCACACUGGAACUGAGACACGGUCCAGACUCCUACGGGAGGCAGCAGUAGGGAAUCUUCCGCAAUGGGCGAAAGCCUGACGGAGCAACGCCGCGUGAGUGAUGAAGGUCUUCGGAUCGUAAAACUCUGUUAUUAGGAAAGAACAUAUGUGUAAGUAACUGUGCACAUCAUGACGGUACCUAAUCAGAAAGCCACGGCUAACUACGUG
RNAcentral lists this ribosomal RNA (497 nucleotides) under uncultured bacterium. RNAcentral's name for it is "partial 16S ribosomal RNA". It matches the Rfam family "Bacterial small subunit ribosomal RNA", at positions 28 to 507 of the family's 1533-position model. The record is from RNAcentral.